CGCCUACACCGCCCUGCCCCUCCCUGCACGGCCGCGCUCCGCCUCCGCUCCUAUCUCAAUUUGAAUUGUCCUCCUGCAGCCCCACCACCCACAGUGGGGAACCGGUGAAGAGACUACAACUCCUGGAUGCACCGGGAGGCGGGUGUCGCCCCGCAUCCCCCCGCCCUGGGCUAGGCGCACAGCGCAGCCCGGAGCAGGCUGGCAUCCUAGACCCUCUGCCCUGCCAACAACACAACAACAGCCGGGGAGUGGACCUGACCCCGGAACUCCCGAAAUUUCCUGAAGACGGUUCCGCUCCCUGCCUCGCCCUUCCAGGCAGCCCAGCAGUUUCGCCCUGCGGAGGGAAGCCUUUCUGUUCUCAAAUCUCUCGUGCUGGGGAGACAGUGGAGCUAGGGCGGCUAGUUUCCCCUUGUAAUUGUGACACCUUGUCUCCUCGAGCUGCAGGCUAAUGCUUGUCGUGUUCGUAGUUUGAUUUCUCGCAGAUCAACAAAGGGCCGGUGGCCUCUCUCGGCCUCCGCGGGAGGGUUGCCAGGGUAACGCUCUUCCGCCAGACUUUGGGCGCGCCCCGCCCCUUUUCUCACACAGCCUCCUCCUCAGCCCCACCCUCUCUCGCUCCUCCCUUUCUAGUUCCCUUUCAGACAUGCGCAGUGCGGCCGUCCCUAGAGGCGGGUUAACGGCCGCGGACCUGGCAGUUCUCAGGCUUCUCCAAGGGAGAAGCCCCCUUGCCAGGGUCUCGAUUUCCCGCCAACCAACAAAGGUUCAUUUGCCUCUUAUGGCCUGCGCGGGAGGGUUGCCAUGGUAAUACUUCUCCGCCGGAUGUUGGGCGCACCCCGCCCCUUUUCUUGCCCCCCUCCCCCUCCACCCCGCCCCUUCUUGCUCCUCCCUCUUGUCACGCCCUUUCAGACAUGCGUAGUGCAGCCCGUCCCUAGCGGUGGGGUAAAGGUCCUGCCCUUUUACACAUGCGGAGUGCACCCGUUCCUAGGGGUGGGGCUAACGGGCCUACCGUUUCAGACAUGCUCAGUGCAGCCUGUCCUUAGGCGUAGGGUAAUGGUGGGCGACCUGGCAGUUCUUGGGCUCCUUGGGAUCCCCUCGAGAAGCCCCCUUGUUAGUGUAUGAAACCGUCAGUUCACUGCCAGUAAUGAAAACAUCGUGUCCUUAGUCACCUGCCAUUAGCCUUUUCGAAACCAUUUUUUCUGUUCCCUAAGCUGUCACAAAUCCUCCUCUGCAUCCCAGGAGUGCCGCUUGGUCCUCGGGCUCGCAGCGUGGCCCACACCUGGGUCGGGCCUCUCACGGGGACGCUCCCGCCACUGUGAUAAAGAGGAGAAAACGUCACAGGGGAAGGGCCUGACCCUGCUGCAUCCAGUAAGGAAACAGCCACAGGGAAGGGACCCCGUAAGCCACUUUGGGAGCCACAUCCACCACUUCUCUGACCCCACGCAGGCUGCUUCCCAGGCCUCAUGGUACUAGUGUGGACCUCCUGGCUGUGAUUAAUGCAGUUUUUUAGAUUAAGUACUGCACGACUACUCGCUUCUGAAACUGUCAUAAGAAACUGCCUCAGCUCCCUGCAGGGUGGACACACAAGAGCAGAAUCUCCGUGGGACAUCUCUUUGGAGCAUCAAUAUUACUACAGUAUUUGGAAGACACAAAUUUAAAUAAUUUCUAAGGUAAAGAAUGGAACAUUUAAGACAAGGCUGGAAAGUCAUCUGCCUUUAAUAACUCAUCUGUGCCUCACAUGUCAGACUUUCUCCAAGAAAAAAACUAAGGAGAACUUAUUUCCAUUCUUAUAAGUAGUAAAAAUAAUAAAUCAUAUCAAGUCAAUUGAAAGUCCUGUCUGCUAGUUUCUUAAAUCACAAUAUGGCCUUGGUAUGGUUUUAUUUGUAUUUUUGUGGGGGGUUUGUGGAUCUUUAGAUUAAAAAAGAAUUAGGUUUUUGAACAAUUUUUGAAAGUUUUCAGAUAUUAGUUGUUGAUUUAUUUUUGUAACCCUUUUAAUUCUUCUGACUCUCUCCUCUCCUUCUCAGACUGAAUGAUUCCAUGGGUCUCUAAGCCUCGGUUUAUUUUCUUUAAAUUUUGUUGAUUUGCUUUUCUACCCCAUUUAAUUUUUUCUGUCUCUCUCUUCUUCUCAGAAUCAAUCAUCCCACAGAUAGGUCUAAG
Molecule: long non-coding RNA, 2151 nt
Filed under: Homo sapiens (human)
Lineage: Eukaryota; Metazoa; Chordata; Mammalia; Primates; Hominidae
Description: HSALNT0385562
Source: RNAcentral